CGCGCAGGCGGCUAUUUUUGUCAGGCGUGAAGGCCCCGGGCUUAACCUGGGAACUGCGCUUGAGACGGGAUGGCUAGAGAUCGGGAGAGGAGAGUGGAAUUCCCAGUGUAGAGGUGAAAUUCGUAGAUAUUGGGAAGAACACCGGUGGCGAAGGCGGCUCUCUGGACCGACACUGACGCUGAGGCGCGAAAGCGUGGGAGCAAACA
RNAcentral lists this ribosomal RNA (206 nucleotides) under uncultured bacterium. Its description in RNAcentral is "partial 16S ribosomal RNA". It matches the Rfam family "Bacterial small subunit ribosomal RNA", at positions 568 to 774 of the family's 1533-position model. The record is from RNAcentral.